RNAcentral lists this ribosomal RNA (292 nucleotides) under uncultured bacterium. Its description in RNAcentral is "partial 16S ribosomal RNA". The record is from RNAcentral.
GGACUACAAGGGUAUCUAAUCCUGUUCGCUCCCCACGCCUUCGCGCUUCAGCGUCAGUGCCGGCCCAGCGGGCCGCCUUCGCCACCGGUGUUCUUCCUGAUCUCUACGCAUUUCACCACUCCACCAGGAAUUCCACCCGCCUCUACCGGUCUCAAGUCUCCCAGUUCGCCACGACCCUCCCGGGUUAAGCCCGGGGCUUUCACGUGCCGCUUAAAAGACCGCCUGCGCGCGCUUUACGCCCAGUCAUUCCGGACAACGCUCGGGCCCUACGUAUUACCGCGGCUGCUGGCAC